UUCGCCCUUAGAGUUUGAUCCUGGCUCAGAUUGAACGCUGGCGGCGUGCCUAACACAUGCAAGUCGAACGCGAAAGUUUCUUCGGAAAUGAGUAGAGUGGCGCACGGGUGAGUAACGCGUGGAUUAUCUACCUAUUGGUACGGGACAACAGUUGGAAACGACUGCUAAUACCGUAUAAGCUGGUAACGGGAAAGGGGGCCUCUUCCUGAAAGCUCUCGCCAGUAGAUGAGUCCGCGUUUCAUUAGCUAGACGGUGGGGUAACGGCCUACCGUGGCAACGAUGAAUAGCAGGCCUGAGAGGGUGGCCUGCCACACUGGGACUGGAACACGGCCCAGACUCCUACGGGAGGCGGCAGUGGGGAAUAUUGCGCAAUGGACGAAAGUCUGACGCAGCGACGCCGCGUGGAGGAUGAAGGUUUUCGGAUCGUAAACUCCUGUCAAGAGGGAAGAAACCUGUUGAAACUAAUACUUUCAGCAAUUGACGGUACCUCUAGAGGAAGCACCGGCUAAUUCAGUGCCAGCAGCCGCGGUAAUACUGAAGGUGCAAGCGUUAAUCGGAAUCACUGGGCGUAAAGCGCUCGUAGGUGGCUUUGUAAGUCAGGUGUG
RNAcentral lists this ribosomal RNA (605 nucleotides) under uncultured delta proteobacterium. RNAcentral describes it as "bacterial SSU rRNA". It matches the Rfam family "Bacterial small subunit ribosomal RNA", at positions 1 to 596 of the family's 1533-position model. The record is from RNAcentral. Lineage: Bacteria; Deltaproteobacteria.